GCUCGUGUCGUGAGAUGUUGGGUUAAGUCCCGCAACGAGCGCAACCCCUAUUUCCAGUAGCCAGCAUUCAGGAUGGGCACUCUGGAGAGACUGCCCGGGAUAACCGGGAGGAAGGCGGGGAUGACGUCAAAUCAUCAUGCCCCUUAUGACCAGGGCUACACACGUGCUACAAUGGCGUAAACAAAGGGAGGCAAAGCGGUGACGCCAAGCAAAUCCCAAAAAUAACGUCCCAGUUCGGAUUGCAGCCUGCAACUCGGCUGCAUGAAGCUGGAAUCGCUAGUAAUCGCGGAUCAGAAUGCCGCGGUGAAUACGUUCCCGGGUCUUGUACACACCGCCCGUCACACCAUGGGAGUCGGAAAUGCCCGAAGUCAGUGACCCAACCGUAAGGAAGGAGCUGCCGAAGGUGGAGCCGGUAACUGGGGUGAAGUCGUAACAAGGUAGCCGUAUCGGAAGGUGCGGCUGGAUCACCUC
This 471-nucleotide ribosomal RNA is filed under the name uncultured bacterium. RNAcentral describes it as "bacterial SSU rRNA". It matches the Rfam family "Bacterial small subunit ribosomal RNA", at positions 1058 to 1529 of the family's 1533-position model. The record is from RNAcentral.